Brassica napus (rape) is the source of this 1138-nucleotide long non-coding RNA. RefSeq lists it as uncharacterized. Lineage: Eukaryota; Viridiplantae; Streptophyta; Magnoliopsida; Brassicales; Brassicaceae. The record is from RefSeq and is a predicted model, not a curated record. The transcript is spliced from 4 exons.
CUACAGUGUUUAUUGUAUGUUAUUGGUCCUGGAAUCGUGCAAACAUCCGGCCUGGAAAGAGAAAAUAGAAACUCUCUCCCCCUAACCCUAAUACGGCGUAAACUAACCCACGAAGAUUGUCUCUCAUCUUCAUGCGGCGGGAGGCGGUGACGUUUGCGCUUCUUCUCAUGACUGUCUGAAAGGCGGUGUGUGUUCAGUAUAAAUAUGUGAGCAAUCCUCAUCUUGGACUCAUCUUCUCUUUCAAUUCUCUGAAAGUAUCUCAGGUUAAGCGAGGCGGCGAGGGUCGACACAUCCUCAUCUUGGACAUACCUUGUAUUUAUGAUUUGGAUAUGUGUUGUUGAUGAGAGACCGACGAAGCUGUUUUGAUUACCAGUAUCCAGUUUCAAAGGCUCGGUUACACUAGAAGAAGAAGUUCCCACAACGCUUACAAAUACAUCGAUUUGUGAGAAUAAUCUUACGUCCCAAGUUUUUUAAAACUAUAAACUGAUUCUUCCAAUGGCGUUCUCACGAGACAAGCCAAGAAAGAUGACUGUUAGUUAAAUACUUGGCAAGUUUCUAUCGAAUUUUCUUAUUCAUUUUUUGUUUAAUUCGUGAGUUGUUUUAAAUUCAAAUUUCUUACUUCAUUUUGAUUGCGUUGAUUGUAAAUUAAAAAACAAGCAAGAUAGGAUACUCGGGGAGGUCAGGAAUGAGAAAGUUGAGCGAUGAUGAAGAGAUGGAUGAGAUUGGGAUUGAGGUUUCAAGGUUGAAUUAUGAGUCUGAUGAGUUGAACAAGAGCAGUAAGACUACUAAGAGUGUUCAAAAUGGAGGAGGUAAUGUAAGAAGGGAAUGCCUGCUAAGAAUCCGAUGGCUGAGAGGAGGAGGAGGAGGAGGGUGAUAGGCUUUAUAUGCUUAGAUCAGUUGGCCCCAAGAUCAGCAAAAUAAACAAUUACUUCUCUCUUAUCUCCUCAAGGGCUUCGUCUUCAUCAUUUACUUAUCGCCGUUAGAGUUCGAUAGAUUCUGUGUUGUGUUUGUUGCGAUGAAAUUUCAUUAACAACCACAUACAUUAUGCAUUAAACCUCAGACUUCGGUUCAUGUCAAUUUCAAAGAUACCACAUGCAGCUGUUUAUUAGCUUUCCAAAAAGUGUUAUUCACAUACCCA